CAAAUUAGGUCACUGCGCUCCGUGAAAGCCAGUUACCACGGUUCAGAAGUUCCCCAACUAACUGAACCCUGAAAAAGCCGCCUCCCCAGGCGGUUUUUUCU
Molecule: non-coding RNA, 101 nt
Filed under: Escherichia coli MS 115-1
Lineage: Bacteria; Pseudomonadati; Pseudomonadota; Gammaproteobacteria; Enterobacterales; Enterobacteriaceae
Source: RNAcentral